This 87-nucleotide transfer RNA is filed under the name Beta vulgaris subsp. vulgaris (sugar beet). It matches the Rfam family "tRNA". From Rfam's summary of the family: Transfer RNA (tRNA) molecules are approximately 80 nucleotides in length. Their secondary structure includes four short double-helical elements and three loops (D, anti-codon, and T loops). Further hydrogen bonds mediate the characteristic L-shaped molecular structure. tRNAs have two regions of fundamental functional importance: the anti-codon, which is responsible for specific mRNA codon recognition, and the 3' end, to which the tRNAs corresponding amino acid is attached (by aminoacyl-tRNA synthetases). tRNAs cope with the degeneracy of the genetic code in two manners: having more than one tRNA (with a specific anti-codon) for a particular amino acid; and 'wobble' base-pairing, i.e. permitting non-standard base-pairing at the 3rd anti-codon position. Lineage: Eukaryota; Viridiplantae; Streptophyta; Magnoliopsida; Caryophyllales; Amaranthaceae. The record is from Rfam by way of RNAcentral.
AGAGAGAUGGCCCAGUGGUUCAAGGCGUAACAUUGGAACUGCUAGGUAGGCUUUUGUUUACCGAGGGUUCGAAUCCCUCUCUUUUCG